CGUGGGGCAAUUCUUCACAAAAAUGACUCUCUUAUAUUAAUAGAUGUUUAAACAUAUUUUAUAAAUAAAUUUUCAAACAAACUUUACUGCUUAUAAGAUGAACUUGGUGACUGGAUGGCCGAGUAGUAAUGCUCUCAGCCUGCCAUGCAGGAGGACCCGGGUUCUCGUAGAUCCUGAAAAGCUUUUCAGCAUGCUGGGCCCAGCCUGGCAAUUGCCCAUUCUUCACCAUCCAGCCUCCCUCCAUGGGUAUGAGUGCAGCCCGUGGUUGGAAUUGGCCCCGUCCCUUAGUAAUCUUGAGUGGAAAGAGGU
This 309-nucleotide long non-coding RNA is filed under the name Androctonus crassicauda. Lineage: Eukaryota; Metazoa; Arthropoda; Arachnida; Scorpiones; Buthidae. The record is from RNAcentral.